UGCAUUCACUACCAUAAGUCGCUCUGGAUAAGAGCGUCUGCUAAAUGACUAAAA
Salmo salar (Atlantic salmon) is the source of this 54-nucleotide non-coding RNA. The record is from Rfam. Lineage: Eukaryota; Metazoa; Chordata; Actinopteri; Salmoniformes; Salmonidae.